GCAUGUCACUGAACCCUACUCCUUCCUACUGAGCACCCAGGCACUCAACUCACAGCUGGGGCAUCUGAUGAGCUCUUUGAGGGCUCCAGUCAGCCUAAAAUCUGUAAAAUUCAGCUUUGGUUUUGCUUCCCACUUCGUUUAGCUUCAUUGCUGUGUUUGCAGGUUCAAUGUGUGUAUGACCAAGCUGUGAAAACAGCAACCAAACAAAAUGAUACCCUAAGGUCUGAUCAGCAGCACACUGGGAUUUACUUCUUUCAGGCUAUCAUCCCUGAUUUUAAAUUGGAGCAGGGAGCACAGCAUGGUCAUUUUAUUGAUUGGAUUAGAGAAAAAUUGAGCUGGCUGAUCUGUACGAUGACAUUAUUGAGUUGUGUUUGCAGCUAUGACAGAAACAAAGGAGUUUUUAUUGGAUUACUGGGGCACAGGGGGAAAAGGGGAAAGAAAAGGUAAUAUAGAGGUGAGCGGGUAUUAGGCUUGGUGCCUUUGUGCUCAGUCUCUUCAGCAAGGGCUCUCUUCUUCUCUGCUGCCCUGUCUAUUCAGCUGACUGCUGCGUUGGCUGCUGCUGCUGCUGCUGCCUUUCCAAACGCAACCAACUCUGUAUCCAAAGAGACGGGAAUUAGUUGCAGUCCCUCAUUAGUGGAUACUCUCAUUACACUUGUUCAUCACUCAGAUGGACUCACAUCACCUUUUCAAAUCAAAGACCCUUCCGAGGUACAAAAAUAGUCCAAGUGAAGAUUGGGGUUUCCUGAGAACUCCUCUAUCCUUAACUGGCUGGCUGAGGCUGCACCCAGGACACUUCUGUUCUCCUGCCAUAGAGUAUCUCUCAUAUUUGGUCCUAGCUGUCUUCUUCCUUAUUUAGACAACUCCUAGAAGAUAAGAUGCACUGCAGGCUCAUCCUUCCAAUGAGUGGUGAAGGAUCUCACCUGACUGUUGGAGUCCUGUCAGACCUAGUGGCUUAGCCAAGAAUGUUUACUGUCAUUGGAGAAGGAUGGUUUUUCCCAGCCACACAAAAUGUGAAUAAUGUGAGGCUGGGUUUGUGAUUAUAUGUGUGCAGCUGGUGGUUUACAGGUGUGUUUGUAGUGAGAGGAGUGUGGGAUGAUGGAUAGAGUUAAACCUAGAGAGAAUUCAGAAUUUUAAGGUAAAAAGCAGCUGCAACUACCUAGAUGGACUGAGGCCGACAUCCUCUCCUAUACAACAAUAAACAAUAAACAAGAAACAGAAGGGAGUGUGGAACGAAGUGGAGACUACGUGGCCCCCCUCCAUUCUAAUCCCAGCAGAAUGGGAGAACACUGUGGUACUGAGACCAUACAGUACCCGUCUGACAAGGAAGAAUCAAGAUGUUCUGCUGCUGAAGCCAACAAACAUGUCAAACUCCCUCCUCAGGUGCCAAACCACAACCACCCCCCCCCUCCCAUUAAAUACACCAAUCAGAAAUAAAAGGUAUUUAUGACUAGACCCACUCAAACUCCACCCAAACAUAAAGCAAAUAGUAUAAAAGUAAGCUGGGGAUAGGGGGAAAGUGGGAGAAGACCUCCACUGAAACUGCUGGGAUCAGUCGAUGGGCUGAGUCCAUCUUCUCCCCUGCCAGAGGGACGCCUUGGGUGAGAAAUAUUGUCUACGUGCAUUAAAUGGUGCUUUGAAGACUAAAGCUUUUGUUUGUGCUUACCCCACAACAUAUUAGUAGAUUGCUUUGUAUCAGAACUUGUGCUUGCUUAAUAUAUGUAUUAACAGACUGGUUUUUUUUAAGCCAUAUUCUUGCAGUAGACACUAUCACCGACAACAUUCAAACCUUAAUUAUCUGUCACAAUUUGUAUUAAUAGAGUGUUAUUCCAUAAACUGUAAAGUUAGUCCUUGCAGUUGCUGGCAGUGCUUAACACCAGUUGCAGAGGGGUCUUGGCUCUGAUGAGUUUCCCCUAACAAGGCAGGUUGAGGUACCCUCCGAUCUUGUGAAUCUGUUGGUGAAGGGUCUCAUUACGGGAUGCUGACAGACUGUCAGGCACCAGGGUCUCAACUCUCCCAAAGAUACCAACAGGUAAAAAUCCAAACUCCCACCUUUCACGUGACAAGGAGUUGUAGGUAUAGUUAUAUAUAUACUCUGUUCCUUAUGCAACAUUCACAAGCGUGUGAAGAGAGCAUAAGGAAUAGUAUGCGUUGUAUAUUUUCUCUAAUGAAGUAUUAUCUUACAAUUUUGCACAGAUCUGAUGAGAAGGUAUUGCAGCCAUGUCUCAUGCUCAAGCCCAUAACUGCAAAUUCUCUGCCAUCACAGAAGCAGUGUUAGAGUUACUCAAAUACCACCUCUCUCUUUUUCCUUUGGCCUUAGCUGCUGUAGCUAAGGGGAGCACUUGGUUGUUCUUGUUCUGUAAUUGUGGUGAGUUGACCUUGACUGGAUACCAGAUGCCCACUAAAGCCACUCUACCACUUCUCAGCUGGACAGGGGAGAGAAAAUAUAACAAAAGGCUUGUGGGUUGAGAUAAGGAGGGGGAGAGAUCACUCAGGGGAGAUAUCACUAAGGGGAGAGCUCACUCAUCACAGGCAAAACAGACUCAACCUGGGGAAAUCAGUUUAAUUUAUUGUCAGUAAAAAUCAGAGUAAAGUAGUGAGAAAUAAAAUCUUAAGCCACCUUUCGCCCACUCCUCCUCUCUUCCCAGGCUCAACUUUAUAUCUAAGUUCUCUCUCUCUUCCCCACAGCAGCGUAGGGGGAUGGGGAAUGUGGGCUGUGGUCAGUUCAUCCCACCUUGUCUCUGCUGCUCGUUUCUUCCAAUGAGAAGGACUCAUCCCCUCCCCUGCUCCAGCAUGGGUCCCUUCCAUAGGGUGCAGUCUGCCAGGAACAGGCUGCUCCAGGGUAGGUUCCUUGCAGUGUCACAAGUCCUGCCAGCAAACCUGCUCCAGUGUGGGUUCUUCUCUCCACAGAUCCACAGGUCCUGACAGAAGCAUGCUCCAGCACAGGUUUUCCAUGGGGUCACAGGCUCCUUUGGGCAUCCACCUGUUCCAACAUGGGGUCCUUCAUAAGCUGCAGGUGGAUCUCUGCUCCUCUGUGGACCUCCAUGGGCUGCAGGGGCACAGCUGCCUCACCAUGGGCUGCACCACAGACUGCAGGGGAAUUUCUGCUCUGGUGCAUGGAGCACCUCCUCACACUCCUUCCUCACUGAUCUUGGUGUCUGAAGGGCUGUUUCUCUCACAUAUUCCCGCUCCUCUGUUCACUGCUGUUAUUCUGAGCAGUUUUUUCUCCUUCUUGUAUUCGUUAUCCCAGAGGUAGCUGUUGGGCUCAGCCUUGGCUAGCAUCUGGUCUCUCUCAGAGCCAGCUGGAGUUGGCUGUCAGACUUGGGGGAAGCUUCCAUCAGCUUCUUACAGAAGCCACCUCUGUAGCCCCCCGCUGCAAAAACAAUGCCACACAAACCCAACACUGCAGUAUUUUCUACUCUUUUCUGGAUACAGCUAUUUGAUUUGUACUCAGGAGCUGUAUCUUCCAACAAAUAUAAAUUAUGCACAUACUCUGUGUCAUCUCUCAGUUUUCAUCUCUCACUUCUUCUCAUAGAAGUGAGGCUUCUAUGUAUUAAAAGAAAAAAAAAAAGACUUGUGUAAGAGAGCACCUUCCAGACAUAAAGUUGUCUCCUUUCUGUAUGACUCACGCUGCUGCAUCCCUCUUUGCCUCAAGCUGAGCCUGAUGUGCUCCCAAAGGUUGAAGACCUGAGUUUGGGUCUUUCAAGGAAGUGCUUUAAUCACCAGAGGGAUGGGUGUUGCAUCUCGUUGUGCAGUCUCUCGUGCCUCACUUACAAAAUGCCUACUAGCACCAGUUCCCAUGAGAGAGAAGCAACAAAAGGGUCGGUACGGGAGUUCUGCCAACACUCAGAUAAUAUCUAGGGAUCAGAGCAGGUCAGUUACAUCAAGGCUUAGCAAGUCCGUGAGUUCCUGUAAACAAAACCUAGGCUUUGUUACAUUAAUAUUGACAUCUACAGGUGAAAAUGGGAUUUGAACACAAGAUUUGCAACAAGCAUUAGUGUCACUGUAGUUCUUGGACACGGCACUCAAAGCAGCCAUACAGCUCUUGAAGUACUCAAAUUUCAAGUGCCCAACACUUUAACAACAAAGUAAUUGCACACAUAAAUGGCCAGAAUUACCCAGGUUUCAUUACUUACUGUUUUAUGUACUGAUGCAACACAACAUCACAGUUACUGUAUUUAACAAAUUGGUCCCUUGACAGUUGUUUCAGUGAGAUGUAGGCUAAUGAAGCAACUCUCUGUCAUGGACUCAAGAGGCAGAAACUUCUCUAUUUGUAUGUAUGGCCAGUCUUUGCAAGUGAAGAUUUGGGAAAGGUCUUUACCCUUCGAGCCUGCGCAGUGGAUUUUUUAGGUGAGACACAGUGUGCGCUGAACUGAGCCCACCCUUUAAUCCUAAGGUUCAUCUGCCGGGGCCGAGCGAGCUUGGACAGUGGCAGCGAGGUCCUCAGGACGUAGGUUUGUUUAGAGUGACCUUCUUUUAGAUGGAUGGCCUUACAGGGCUGACGAGCUCCAUCUGCCCACGGGAGUUUCCCUGACUGGGAAUCGAACCCAGCCACAGCAGUGAGAGUGCUGCAUCCUAACCACUAGACCACCAGGGGGCCCCUUAUCUAUUUACGUAUUUAAGAAAGAUUCUUGCUUGAAGGAUUCAUGUUGAUAGAAUAAAGUGAAUAUCAGAAUAUGCUCUCUAGUCAAGCAGCUUGUCCUAUUACAGCUAUCCUUUACAAAUCACAUAUAUGUUCCCAAAGCUGUGUCUUCUGGAACUUUUGAGGAAAUUUAUUGGCCUUAAAAGCCGAUGUUCUUAGACACUGAUAGACCCAGAAGAGAGGCAAAAUCCAGAACAAAAGACUCUUUCAAUUAAAUGCUUAAAACGUUCCAGUAACAAACUCCCCCACAUUAAACUAGAUGACAACUAACUGAGGCAUUUCUGAUGCACUCAGCUGCUUUGGUGCUACACAAGCAGAAAUCAUCUCUAAAAUGUACAAGAUCCAGCCUACAAAGGAGACUUUGUGCAGUGUCUCUCUGAAACAAUUUUUAUAGCAAUUACUUGGAAAUUAAGUUCUACUGCAUUUGCCAUCAGCUUCAGUGGAACCAGGCUUUCAUCCAUUUCGUAUCAGCUUUAGGGCUGUUUUUUUUUCUGUUUUCCCAUUUCUGGCAUGAUCCAGUUCAGAGAGUAGCUGCAAUCUGUCAUCUGGUGGUGGAUACUGAAUGUAUGUUGGGGGGAGGGGGGAAUUAAAAAAAAACCCCAAUCUGCCAAGUCUUGCAGCCUUCAACCUUUCGUGCAGUAGAAGGUUUACAAGAUGAUUUAAAAUCUGCAUGUGUAGAAAAUAAGGAAGAUGGGCUGACUCUAGACAUAAAAUAGGUUUGGGACAGACUGAGAUUGAUGGCUUUGUGACAAUGACACUAAAGUUAAUAGCUGAUAUAGGCAGACAACAGAGUCUAUUUUAAAUUUAAAAUUGAACUGUGUGUCACUGACAGCAUCAUACUGACCAUUCAUUGCUAGACCUAAUUUCUCUCUGGUAAUGACUACAAGAAGCAGAAUAGAUAAUGAUGUGCACUGCAGAACAUUUGGGAAAUGGGAUUAACUGAUUUGCUUUUUUUUUUUCCUUGUUUUUAAAACAACUAUUUAAUGAUUAGUAGAGGUGGCUAUCCUUGAACACUCCUGAAGGGUAAAGAUUAGUCACUCCUCUGGGAACAUCUCUGUCGCCUCUAUUUCCUUUCCUCUUAGGAGACAGAAGGGGUGUAAAUUGUGCUUGCAACAGACUGGGAAGGCUGACACUGUUAAAAUAUAAGACCUUGACAAAAACCCUGGAGAUGAUGUAUCACCAGUCUCCUGGGCAGUUGCACUCCACAUUCACAUUUGCACACUGCAGAUAAUUCCUGUCUCUCAACAGCCUGAACCCAAACUUCAAAUGCAAAUUGUCUUGAAGCUGGAAAUGGAAACUUGCAUGCACCGAAAGGAGAGAGUUAUUCACAUAUUUAAAUAAAAAGCUGACAAAAAAAUACGUGAAACAAGGAAAAAACAAAUCCUUCAGUCCUGGGGGAAGCAUUUCUUUGCUGUCUAUUUCUGUCAUUAUUCCCUCCUGUUUAUCUACCCUUUUCUUCAGAGACAGAGAUGAUCACUGGUUUUGUACAUCUCCACCCACACAAACAGAGAUCUUUAUUGGCAUACCACUGUAGGGCUGAUCACCAGAGACUUAACUUUAUUACGUGUCAGUGAAAGGCCUUUAAAAAAGUGCACAAACUAUAAUACAAGGGGCUUCUGAAAUUUUACGUGCAUGGCACAUGGAAGCAAUCGACUUCAGGAAUAAAUAUUUGUGCCUCAAACCUGAAUGCAGCCAGCACACAUGCGUGAGGGUGAAUGUUGCUGGCCUCAUGCUAGGAAUUUGAGCUCUGUCCUUGAAACCACUUUUUUUUUGGUAGGUGCUGUGUUAAUGUGUAGCAAAAUGGUAGUAGUGCAUUCCAUAAUCUGCUCAGUAACUGUAUUUCAGAGCAUCAGUAGGUUGAAAUUUCUACCUGCUUUCCUUACUCCUGUCUGUGACAUGAGUCUGCAGACCUGAAGGAUUUACUGUUUCUCUGCUUGCUUUUUCUGUUUGGCAGGAAAACUAGCUGAAUGGUUCGAGUCAAGUUCAAAAGCUCAAAUCUGAAAGCUGCAUACUCUUUGGUUGAAUUAAUUGCAAUUCCACUCUGGCCUUGUAAAGCUAAUUUAAAUUAUAGUGGUCUCUGCAACUUCAUGGUGUAAAAUAAAUAAAUCUAAUUGUAUUUGGCUUAACUACUGAAUCUGCUUAUUACUUUCCAAAUGGUACGGUGGGACUUGUAGUUUUUAUAAACUAAGCUACCAAAUGAUUAUGAUGAGAAAUCAGGACUGUGGAAGUAGUAAUUACAUAUAUAUAACCCCAUUUUCUACCCUAUGAGAAAGUGCAGUGCCUAUGUUCUAUUUCCUCCUUUUCUUCUGUCUUCUGUGAGUGCUGGAGGGCAUUUUAGAUGGGGUUGCUCAGACUAUCCAAGACCUUUAAAAAAAUCUUCUCAUUUCCUAGAAAGUAAUUGAAAACUCCCACACCAAACAAAAAUAUAUGUAGCAUACGUAAAUGCUAUAAAAGUAAUAUGUGGUUUACAUAACGAUUUAUAAUGCUACUUCAUCUCUGAGGCAAAAUAUGAUCAUGUAUUUUAUGCUCUUAGAUCACCCCUGUGUGUCUGUGCUGGAAUAAACACGCUCCCUUGGUGCAGACUGUGACAUAGCUCACACUGCAAGGCAUGCAAUCACUACGGCUGGUUUUGUUAUCAGCUGGGAAAGGGUGGAUAAACAGGAUCAUGUUUCCCAUUAGUAAAAGGCUUUCUAAGUUCCACAAAGUCAACAGACAGUAAUCAGAAUUUCCAUGAAGGCAUGUUAACCAGAAGAGGAAUUUCUGCAGCAAAUCAUCACAAAGAAGCCAUGAAAGCCUGUUUAAUACUUGCAGGUGGCAUCUAGUCCAGGUGCUCACAGGAGCUCAUUAUCUGACAGUCAUCCAAUAAAUAGAUGCUCUACAACUGUACAAUCUAAA
Molecule: long non-coding RNA, 7534 nt
Organism: Pseudopipra pipra
Lineage: Eukaryota; Metazoa; Chordata; Aves; Passeriformes; Pipridae
Exons: 3
Source: RefSeq, a predicted model, not a curated record